RNAcentral lists this ribosomal RNA (467 nucleotides) under uncultured bacterium. RNAcentral's name for it is "partial 16S ribosomal RNA". It matches the Rfam family "Bacterial small subunit ribosomal RNA", at positions 28 to 506 of the family's 1533-position model. The record is from RNAcentral.
GACGAACGCUGGCGGCGUGCUUAACACAUGCAAGUCGAACGGUGAAGCUCCAGCUUGCUGGAGUGGAUCAGUGGCGAACGGGUGAGUAACACGUGAGCAACCUGCCCCUGACUCUGGAAUAAGCGCUGGAAACGGCGUCUAAUACUGGAUACGAGAAGGGUCCGCAUGGGCACUUUCUGGAAAGUUUUUCGGUUGGGGAUGGGCUCGCGGCCUAUCAGCUUGUUGGUGAGGUAAUGGCUCACCAAGGCGACGACGGGUAGCCGGCCUGAGGGGGCGACCGGCCAACCGGGGACGGAAAGAGGGCCGGACCACCCACGGAGGGGAGGAGGGGGUAGGAUUGAAAAAGGGGGGAACGAAAGAGGGAGCGAGCCCGGGUGAGGGAGGGAGGCCUUCGGGUGGAAAGCACUUUUCGGGGGGAAAGAAGGAAAAGGAAGGGAACCGGAGAAAAAACGCCGGGUAAACCAGGU